UGUAAUGAGAAAAAAGUUUCUACAUUUCUAUCACUAUAUAGUGUGAAGUGAGGUUUAAUUAUGUGUUUACCAUCACUUCCGUCGCCGUUGGCGCUUCCAUACCAGGUGGCAACUGCAGGAAGCCAAUGCGACUUUGAGGCGUGGCUAUUGGUCGUCACUGGAGCGGAGGAGCUAUUCAGAAGCCGCAGGAAAAUGCAGAGCGUGGCUAAGAUGAUGGCCAGAGAGAGCUGCAUUUUACCCCAAGAAGUAUGUUUUGCCGACAGUGAGAGAGAGAAAGUGAGUGAGUGAGUUGUGGAACUGAUAUGUCAGUGUUGUUGUUGUUAUAUAGAGAAAAAUAAGCAAACUGCUUUUCUGUGGUUUCUCUUUUUGUUUGAAGUCUUUGCCAGUUUGGUCCCUUGCCGUUGCUCUUAUUAACGGUGAGAUGCCACACUGAUAAGACCUACCGACAGUUAAGGCGUAGAUUUCGCUCGAUCCAGUGCGUAAUCGUCAUGGGACCUAUAGGGGUAAUUUGGUACAUUUUUAGUUUAGACCGUUGUUAAUCUCCCGCAGAUUCUGUGGAGGAGAAGAGGAAUCCGUUAAGACACUGACUUGCCCUUGCCCAAUCUCUUAUCUUCUGAUUUGUUUUCUUCCUGUUUAUUUUUUCACGUGUUAUGUUCUUAGAUUUUAUGUUUCAUUACAUAUAUAUUGAUAUAUAAUUUAGUUAUAUACAAACUUAAACAUCUGUACUAGUACAUUUUUACAAAACUACUACUGUUUGUGUAUAUUAGUCGAUGAAAUGUAUUAUAUGAUUUACGUAAAGCAAAACUUUGUGGCCAAUCUCGUACGCACAACGCAUGAAUCAUUGCCAUUGCGAAUAUAUACUAUAAUAAUAGAGGUAACGGUUUUCACGCUAAUUCGUAUGCUAUAACGAACAACCACCUUUAGCUCACUAGUGACAUAUUAGUUCGUUGUUUUGUUAUUAUUGACGAUGGUAGGGCAAUAGAUAAUAACUAUAUGAUGGUCACUCAGUCCCAGAUCUUAUUAAAAGGUGGAUCCACGAUUUGUUUUAUUUUAUAAGCAAAGCAUUGUUGGAUAAUUCCAAGCUUGUGGAAACUUAAUAUAUUAUUAGAUGUUUAAUAUGUUAAGAUAAACACAAUAAGGAAACUUAGAAAUAGGAAAAGAAGUUUCUAUUUAGGUUAGGUUUGUGUUUUCUAUAUCCCACAUGUUAAAGGGAAUUGUCUUUCAUAUAAAUAUAGGUCUAAUGGAGAGGUGUUCCAAAAGAUCUAAGUAAAACAUAUUGAGAGCUUUAGUUUUGAGUAGUUUCUAAAGCUAAUAAGAAAAGUUGUUCUUAUAACUCUUUGUGUUUCUAAGAGAUUUGAAUUGGUAUCAGAGCCUCAGGUUGGAGACUCGAUCUAAGCUUAAGUUGUAGCUUAAGAUCCUGGUGCUUGUGAACAAGAGAUCGCGACGGCAAGAUGGCUGACGUGACUAGGGCUCCACGCACGAAGGACUUUGGAUCUACAUCCAUCCAAUGUCCGAUGUUGUCAUCGACAAACUACACAGUUUGGUCGAUGAGGAUGAAGGUUCUACUACGUGUUCAUGAAGUGUGGGACACAAUCGAACCCGGUUCAGAUGAUCAAAAGAAGAACGAUGUUGCGAUAGCUCUUUUGUUUCAAUCUGUUCCAGAGACUUUGAUUCUCCAGGUGGGAGAACAAACCGCAUCAAAAGAGAUCUGGAACGCCAUCAAAUCACGACACCUAGGAACUGAUCGUGUAAGGGAGGCGAGACUUCAGACGUUGAUGACAGAGUUUGAUAGGUUGAAGAUAGAUGAUGCAGAUACGGUCGAUGACUUCACGGGGAAGAUAUCAGGCCUAUCAUCCAAAGCAACAUCGUUGGAAGAAAACAUAGAAGAAUCCAAGAUGGUCAAGAAGUUCUUGAAGGGUCUUCCAAGACACAAGUAUAUCCAGAUCGUAGCAUCACUUGAGCAAGUCCUAGAUCUCAACUCGACGGGGUUUGAAGACAUAGUUGGAAGGCUUAAAGCGUACGAGGAGCGUCUAGGAGAAAAAACUCAGAAAGAAGACCAAGGGAAGCUGAUGUUUUCGAACAAUGAAGAGCAUAGUCAGAGGGGCUAUGACAAUUCCCGUGGUAGAGGAAGAGGACAGAACGGUAGAGGCAGAGGUCGAGGUAGGUCACACAACCAAAACCGUGCGUCACACACCGAAGAUAACAACUCGAAGAAGAAUCGUUCAAAGUUGAUAUGUUGGAGAUGUGACAAGCCUGGUCACUACGCAACUGUUUGUCCCGAAAAGACAGAGAAGAAUCAAGAAACCAACCUAAACGAGACAGAAGAGGCUGAUGCGCUCUAUGUACACGAGGUAGUGUUUUUGAACGAAGAUAAGGUGAUUCCAAAGAAUCUUGAUAUCGACAAAGGCAGUGCAAGUGUCUGGUAUUUGGAUAAUGGAGCGAGCAAUCACAUGACAGGGAACAAGGAGUUCUUUUCGAGUUUGAAUCUCAACACCAAAGGGAAGGUGAAGUUUGGUGAUGGAUCGUGUGUUGACAUUGUAGGAAAGGGUGUGGUUACCUUUGUGUGCAAGACUGGAGAGAAGAAGGCACUCAAGGACAUAUACUACAUACCCGAUCUGAAGCACAAUAUAUUGAGUCUUGGGCAAGCAACAGAAGUGUUUUGCCCGCUGACAAAGUGUUGAGCUUGAUGGAGAAUGGUCCUUUGAGUGGUCCUCCAACGAUGCACCAGUUGGCUCCCCAUACGUGCUUCAUCUCUAGCCAUUCACUCGCUCCUGCCUGCACCAUUUAACAAAGGAAACCCAUCUUUACACUUUUGAGUCUGUUUUAUUGUUACUUUAGUAGACUUUGGCAGACUUUACUGGUGUGCCUUUCUAGUUGGUCAAUAAAGAACCAUGAGUGUGCUCACUCCACUAAAACUUUUCCUCCUUUUUCGUUUUAGUAUUAUACAAAAUAAACGCAUACUUUGAAGUGGAAGUGACUUUGUGGUAAGAAAAAGGAAACUAAAGUCUAAAAAGAGAUUAAAAAAAAAGAGUUUGGUUAUAAAGAAAAAGAAAGUACUUGGCGAAUAUGCAUGGAGCCAAUGUCGCCUUCUCCAUCUUCAAACUCAACCAGCAGAGACAACCAAAAAUCAGUUGAUCCUUCGUUCACAUGGAACGCAAUGUUCUUCCCUCUAUACUUGCAUGCCGUCCUUUUUUAAUAUUAUGCAACAAAAAAUCAAAAAUGAAAUGGUCAACGGUCAAAAAUGUCAGGGACCAUUUAAAAACGAGAUCUCGCCGCUAAAGCUCACCAAUUGCAAUAAAAUCUAAUAAUUUCUAACCACAUAAUUCCUAUAUUUUAAUUCGCUCGUGCACUGUCACGAGUUAGUUAUUGUCAUUGAUGAAGAAAAUAAACAUUAAUAAAUGACUUUAAAAGAGAAUAAUAAAGUAAACAUGUACCGGCGGUAAAUCACGGGGAUGAGACCUCGGUUGCGGAGGGGACCAGAUUCUCCUGAGAUAGCCAGUCGACCAAACGCCGCGCCACUAAGAUCAAAGUGAGUGUUGGUUUUUGAACAGCCGGGACACUCGUCGGUGAUGAUGACGGUGACGGCUCUCCGGGAACAUAUACUCCUGUCCAAGCACCGAACCUUGUAACAAGCUCCGCAGCCUUCACCGUUUUUGAAGAGGAUAGGAUUCACCGCUCCAACCCUCGCAUGUAACGGUUUCACGUCCACCAACGUACCGUACCCACACGCUCCUCCUGUAUUACGGUAUGUAAUGAGAAAAAAGUUUCUACAUUUCUAUCACUAUAUAGUGUGAAGUGAGGUUUAAUUAUGUGUUUACCAUCACUUCCGUCGCCGUUGGCGCUUCCAUACCAGGUGGCAACUGCAGGAAGCCAAUGCGACUUUGAGGCGUGGCUAUUGGUCGUCACUGGAGCGGAGGAGCUAUUCAGAAGCCGCAGGAAAAUGCAGAGCGUGGCUAAGAUGAUGGCCAGAGAGAG
This 3975-nucleotide long non-coding RNA is filed under the name Brassica napus (rape). RNAcentral's name for it is "long non-coding RNA (BNAP_LNC000307)". Lineage: Eukaryota; Viridiplantae; Streptophyta; Magnoliopsida; Brassicales; Brassicaceae. The record is from RNAcentral.